RNAcentral lists this ribosomal RNA (399 nucleotides) under uncultured bacterium. RNAcentral describes it as "bacterial SSU rRNA". It matches the Rfam family "Bacterial small subunit ribosomal RNA", at positions 359 to 775 of the family's 1533-position model. The record is from RNAcentral.
GAAUAUUGGACAAUGGGCGCAAGCCUGAUCCAGCCAUGCCGCGUGAGUGAUGACGGCCUUAGGGUUGUAAAGCCCUUUCGGCGGGGACGAUAAUGACGGUACCCGCCGAAGAAGCCCCGGCUAACUUCGUGCCAGCAGCCGCGGUAAUACGAAGGGGGCUAGCGUUGUUCGGAAUCACUGGGCGUAAAGGGCGCGUAGGCGGCUGUGUAAGUCGGGGGUGAAAGCCUGUGGCUCAACCACAGAAUUGCCUUCGAUACUGCAUGGCUUGAGACCGGAAGAGGUUAGUGGAACUGCGAGUGUAGAGGUGAAAUGCGUAGAUAUUCGCAAGAACACCAGUGGCGAAGGCGGCUGACUGGUCCGGUUCUGACGCUGAGGCGCGAAAGCGUGGGGAGCAAACAG